Molecule: long non-coding RNA, 505 nt
Filed under: Trifolium pratense (red clover)
Lineage: Eukaryota; Viridiplantae; Streptophyta; Magnoliopsida; Fabales; Fabaceae
Description: long non-coding RNA (TPRA_LNC001768)
Source: RNAcentral
AUUAAUAUGCCACCAAACACUUUGACAAUGCAAUAAUUUUGGAAUAACUAAUUGAAGCAAUAACAUAAAGGGAUAUACGGAAACUGACAUAAUAAUAUAAAUUGAAAAUAGUAAAGGACCACUGCCACUGGACCCGAUUACAAAAGUCAUCAACCCUAAAUAAAGUACCUAAUUAAAAGACUACAGAUAAUGAGCCAAGCUGAAACUUUAACAUUUGCCCUACUUAAAGGCCCACUGCCACUGGGCCACAAAACAACAGUAUUUAAGCCCACUGCCACUGGGACAAACUACAACAUAUAAAGUUAUUUCAACCUAAUCAUAAUAUUAAUAAUAAUACUAACAUAAGAGUAAUUCUAACACCUUCAGCUUAGGGGAUCUUCUCAAUCUUCACAGCCCUCUUCAAUAACUUGAUAGGAGCAUUGUCAUCUUCAACAUCUUGAUCUUCAUGUUGAGGGGACACUCUCUUUGCAAAGGAUUUCUUGCGCUGUCCACAUGGCCUACCAGA